UAAAGUGGAUCAAUGAAUUUCAUGUUGAAAAUGUUGCUCUAAAUCAAAAGAAUAUUUUCUUGACAAUAAUAUAUAUAAAUAUGUUAAUCUUCCAUGGAUCAAGCUGUACACCACAACUUGCAGUUGAAAAUUUCGUUACAUCAAAUCAACUUCACUGAGAGAUAAUAAGAAUUGGAAAUCCUUCAGUAGACACUCUUUACUCUCUUUCACUGCCUAGCUUUAGAUUCUUUCUUGGGGAUCCAAUUAUUCGCACAACAAUGGCAGCCAAGUAAUCGAGGACUUGGCUGACAUUUGAGAAAUUGGUUUUUUUUUUUCCUUCCUACUCGGAGAUUGUUUACCUUCUUCUUCUUUUAGUGUCAGGAAACAACAAUCAGAAGGAAAAUAUGGAGCUCAUGAAGUGAAACAGUCUCUUCUUUGUGCUUCAUCUGGGUACGUGAGUGGUGACAUAUUUAUAUAUAAAUGUCUUGAUGGUUGAAAGCUGGAACGUGCAUUUUGAGAAGCAAGUAAAUAGAUAAAAGUAAAACAGAAUGUCCAAGUGUUACAGGAUAAAUGUUGGUGUAUGUGCUUUGCUUGUUGCAAGCAUAGUUCUAUCUAUGAGUUCAUGGCCGGUAGUAACAGAAGCGAGAAUUUCCAAGUUCACAGCUAUCCAAGAAAGUUUAGUCCGUGAGAGUACAAAAGGAAGUGAAGUACGACGUCGUCGAAUUCUGAGGCAAGGUCCAUUAGGUCAGUCAACUCCAGUACCAGCUCCACAAGUUAGACAAAAUGGUUGAAGUGAUAGUAGGAAGUGGUCUUUUAAUAUUGGAAGAUUUUAUGUAAGAAUUGGAGUUGUUGGUCGCUGUAACUUGUGUAAGUAUGGGAAUCUUGGAUGAGCAAGGAUUUGUUGGUUAUUUUAAGGGUUGUAGUGGAAGACCCUGAACCUGCCUGGGGAUGUCAUUAAAAGACAAAAUCAGUCAACUGUAUCUGGUCUUUAUUAUCAAUAAAAUUUCUUUCCCCUUCUGUCA
This is a long non-coding RNA of Mangifera indica (mango), 1001 nucleotides long. RefSeq lists it as uncharacterized. NCBI's taxonomy places the organism in Eukaryota, Viridiplantae, Streptophyta, Magnoliopsida, Sapindales, Anacardiaceae. The record is from RefSeq and is a predicted model, not a curated record. The transcript has 2 exons.